RNAcentral lists this ribosomal RNA (113 nucleotides) under Caerostris darwini. The record is from RNAcentral. Lineage: Eukaryota; Metazoa; Arthropoda; Arachnida; Araneae; Araneidae.
UUGCGGCCGUACCAUGCUGAAUAUACCGGUUCUCGUUAGAUCACCGAAGUCAAGCAUCAUUGGGCGCGGUCAGUACUUGGGUGGGUGACCACCUGGGAACACCGCGUGCCGUU